Gasterosteus aculeatus aculeatus (three-spined stickleback) is the source of this 1394-nucleotide long non-coding RNA. The record is from Ensembl. Lineage: Eukaryota; Metazoa; Chordata; Actinopteri; Perciformes; Gasterosteidae.
GGACUGCGUGUUUGCUCGUUUUGUCCCGGAGCUAUGCCACGCUGGGGUCCCGACUGCCCUGACCCGUUUUGGACUGCUGCUGCUUUGUGUGGGGAUAAAACCCACACUUUUUACGGACCUUGCCUGCUGCUGCGUUCGGGUGCUGAGGGCCUCACUGGUGAUCCUGUUUGGUGAUGGUGUCCCUUCGUGUGUAGUGUCUUAUUCACUCCCCUCCUUUGUUUUGCUUUGCCCUUGUGUGUUUGGAGUGUUAAUUUUGGAUUGUGGUGCUCCCAUUUUAAGUUUAUACUUUCACCCCUCACUCACCUUGAGCACAAAUGCCCCAGCCCUGGAAUACAUGAUAAUUUAUACAAAUAGGAUAAUUUUUUUAGAUUUGAAUUGUGCCCAAUAAACUGUUGUAUAUGCUUUUGGAAACACGUCUCUCGCCUGCUCAGUGUAACGAACUUGUGUUGUCCUUUUGUUUAGAUUUAGUAAUUUACCUUAUUCAUAGAUUUCUUUCUUUUCCCUGGGUGAUUUCUCCCAGGGUGGCGUUGCUGGUUUCCUUUAGUUUCUUUCUUUUUCCCCUAGUUAAAAACAUAGAUUAUUGGGGUAGUUCCUACCCCACCUCACGCUUGCCACAAACUUGGCGUUGCUGGCAGGACUUAUACUGAAAAAAAAAGGCAGAGACGUGUGUUCCUUUGUUUUUUUGUUGUUUGUUUUUUUGUUUUUCUGAAUAAGACAAAGCAGCAGCAGUCCCCUGGCAACCAUGGAGGAAGAAAUGCAAGAGUUGCGAGCUCUGGUUGCGCAGUUAAAGGCUGACAAUGAGAGGUUGCGUCAAGCUUCGUUGGUGCCGCCCUCUAGUGCUACACCUUCAACCUCCUCAGUACUGCCGACUGCCCUUACUUCUGCCAGUGCCCCUGCAGCCGAGAGGUGCUGAGGGCCUCACUGGUGAUCCUGUUUGGUGAUGGUGUCCCUUCGUGUGUAGUGUCUUAUUCACUCCCCUCCUUUGUUUUGCUUUGCCCUUGUGUGUUUGGAGUGUUAAUUUUGGAUUGUGGUGCUCCCAUUUUAAGUUUAUACUUUCACCCCUCACUCACCUUGAGCACAAAUGCCCCAGCCCUGGAAUACAUGAUAAUUUAUACAAAUAGGAUAAUUUUUUUAGAUUUGAAUUGUGCCCAAUAAACUGUUGUAUAUGCUUUUGGAAACACGUCUCUCGCCUGCUCAGUGUAACGAACUUGUGUUGUCCUUUUGUUUAGAUUUAGUAAUUUACCUUAUUCAUAGAUUUCUUUCUUUUCCCUGGGUGAUUUCUCCCAGGGUGGCGUUGCUGGUUUCCUUUAGUUUCUUUCUUUUUCCCCUAGUUAAAAACAUAGAUUAUUGGGGUAGUUCCUACCCCACCUCACGCUUGCCACAUCUCCAUGAAA